AGAGCACAGAGAGAAUGCCUUGGCAUUGGGAGCCGAAGAAGGACGUGACAAGCUGCGAAAAGCUGCGGGGAGCUGCAAAUAAGCAAAGAUCCGCAGAUAUCCGAAUGGGGAAACCCUUACGGUGAAGAGCCGUAAAGCUUAUGCUGAAUAAAUAGGUAUAAGCAGGGAACCCGCCGAACUGAAACAUCUAAGUAGGCGGAGGAAAAGACAUCAAGCGAGAUUCCGCGAGUAGUGGCGAGCGAAAGCGGAGGAGGCCAAACCUAAAGUAGAAAUACUAUAGGGGUAAGGACUGCGAGAAGCAAGAGAUGAGCUAACAGAAUCACGUGGGAAAGUGAACCGAAGAAUGUGAGAGUCAUGUAAGUGAAAGCGAGUGGAAGCGAGCAGGAUCCGGAGUAGAUGCGGACACGAGGAAUCCGCAUUGAAGAGGGGGGGACCACCCUCCAAGCCUAAAUACUACCCAAUGACCGAUAGAGAAGAAGUACUGUGAAGGAAAGGUGAAAAGGACCCCUGGCGGGGAGUGAAAGAGAACCUGAAACUCUGUGUUUACAAGCACACAAAGCACGUCAAGGUGCGAUGUGGUACUUUUUGUAGAACGGUCCGGCGAGUUAUUGUAUGCAGCGAGGUUAAGUAUUAAAGAUACGGAGCCGAAGGGAAACCGAGGAUGAAAAGUCCGAAUGAGUUGCAUGUAAUAGACCCGAAACCGGGUGACCUAUCCAUGUCCAGGCUGAAGUUGAGGUAAAACUCAAUGGAGGGCCGAACCGACCCCCGUUGAAAAGUUGGCGGAUGAGGUGUGGAUAGCGGAGAAAUUCCAAUCGAACCCGGAUAUAGCUGGUUCUCCCCGAAAUAGCUUUAGGGCUAGCCUCGUAUAUAUUUACCGGAGGUAAAGCACUGAAUAGGCGAGGGGCCGAGAGGUUACCAACCCUUAUCAAACUAAGAAUGCCGGAUAAAUGAGUACGGGAGUCAGACUACGUGAGAUAAGUCUCGUGGUCAAAAGGGAAAGAGCCCAGAUCUACAGCUAAGGUCCCCAAUAUACACUAAGUGGAGAAGGAUGUGGCAAUGCGAAGACAACCAGGAUGUUGGCUUAGAAGCAGCCACUCAUUAAAAGAGUGCGUAAUAGCUCACUGGUCAAGUGAUGCUGCGCCGAAGAUAUAACGGGGCUAAGUGUAUAACCGAAGCUUAGGCAGUGAAAACUGGGUAGGGGAGCGUUCCAUAUAGGGAGAAGCAUAAGCGGAAGCGUAUGUGGACAGUAUGGAAGAGAGAAUGCCGGAAUGAGUAGCGAGAAUUGCGUGAGAAUCGUAAUGGCCGAAAAUCUAAGGGUUCCAGGGGUAGGUUCGUCCGCCCAAGGUAAGCCGGGAGCUAAGGCGAGGCCGAAAGGCGUAGUCGAUGCACAUACGGUAGAGAUUCCGUAGCCGCCGAAGAUUUAAGUAUGCUGACACAUGAGAAGAGAUUAAGCCGGGCGAUGGUAGACCCGGUCGAAAGGGACUGAAAAAGAAGUAGGGAAGUAAUCGAAUCUUGUGGCGAGAAAAGGCAUAAGGUAUAUCGAAGGCGCCCGUACCGCAAACCGACACAGGUAGAUGAGGAGAGAAUCCUAAGGCCAACGGGAGAAGGGUUGUUAAGGAACUCGGCAAAAUGACCCCGUAACUUCGGGAUAAGGGGAGCCUCAGAAAUGAGGCCGCAGUGAAAAGGCCCAGGCGACUGUUUAACAAAAACAUAGGUCUCUGCGAAACCGAAAGGUGAUGUAUAGGGGCUGACGCCUGCCCGGUGCCGGAAGGUCAAGGGGAACACUCAGAGAGAUCGAAGGUGUGAACUUAAGCCCCGGUAAACGGCGGCCGUAACUAUAACGGUCCUAAGGUAGCGAAAUUCCUUGUCAGGUAAGUUCUGACCCGCACGAAUGGCGUAACGAUCUGGGCACUGUCUCAACAGCCCGCCCGGCGAAAUUGUAGUACCGGUGAAGAUGCCGGUUACCCGCGACUAGACGGAAAGACCCCAUGGAGCUUUACUGUAGCCUGAUAUUGAGAUUCGUUUCAUUAUGUACAGGAUAGGUGGGAGACUAAGAAGCAUGUGCGUCAGCAUGUGUGGAGUCGACGUUGGGAUACCACUCU
Molecule: ribosomal RNA, 2102 nt
Filed under: human gut metagenome
Description: bacterial LSU rRNA
Rfam family: Bacterial large subunit ribosomal RNA
Source: RNAcentral